RNAcentral lists this ribosomal RNA (253 nucleotides) under uncultured bacterium. RNAcentral's name for it is "partial 16S ribosomal RNA". It matches the Rfam family "Bacterial small subunit ribosomal RNA", at positions 524 to 776 of the family's 1533-position model. The record is from RNAcentral.
UACAGAGGGUGCGAGCGUUGUCCGGAAUCACUGGGCGUAAAGGGCGCGUAGGUGGCGACCCAAGUCCAUGGUGAAAGCUCGAUGCUCAACAUCGAGUCGGCCACGGAUACUGGGUUGCUCGAGCACUGUAGAGGCUAAUGGAAUUCCGGGUGUAGCGGUGGAAUGCGUAGAGAUCCGGAAGAACACCGGUGGCGAAGGCGGUUAGCUGGGCAGUUGCUGACACUGAUGCGCGACAGCGUGGGGAGCAAACAGG